RNAcentral lists this non-coding RNA (45 nucleotides) under Echinostoma caproni. Lineage: Eukaryota; Metazoa; Platyhelminthes; Trematoda; Plagiorchiida; Echinostomatidae. The record is from RNAcentral.
GCACUGCUGCCGAGUCUAAAACAGGACGAAACAGCUGUGCAGUGC